This 481-nucleotide ribosomal RNA is filed under the name uncultured bacterium. Its description in RNAcentral is "partial 16S ribosomal RNA". It matches the Rfam family "Bacterial small subunit ribosomal RNA", at positions 28 to 507 of the family's 1533-position model. The record is from RNAcentral.
GACGAACGUUGGCGGCGUGCUUAAUACAUGCAAGUCAACUGAAGCAGUGGUAGCAAUAUCGCUGUGGAGGUGGCGCACGGGUGAGUAACACGUAGGUAAUCUGCCUUCAGGUCUGGCAUAACUCCGGGAAACCGGGGCUAAUAGCAGAUGAUGCAGCGGCUCGACAUCGAGACAGUUGUUAAAGCUAUGGCGCCUGAAGAUGAGCCUGCGUCUGAUUAGCUAGUUGGCGGGGUAACGGCCCACCAAGGCAACGAUCAGUAGCUGGUCUGAGAGGAUGAUCAGCCACACUGGAACGGAGCCACGGUCCAGACUCCGACGGGAGGCAGCAGUAAGGAAUAUUGCUCAAUGGGAGAAAUCCUGAAGCAGCAACGCCGCGUGAGGGACGAAGGGCCUUUGCUUGUAAACCUCUGUAGUGAGAGAAAAAAAUCCCAAUCUUUGGGACAUGAUGGUAUCUCAAAAGUAAGCCCCGGCUAACUACGUG